Molecule: ribosomal RNA, 447 nt
Filed under: uncultured bacterium
Lineage: Bacteria
Description: partial 16S ribosomal RNA
Rfam family: Bacterial small subunit ribosomal RNA
Source: RNAcentral
CCAGACUCCUACGGGAGGCAGCAGUGGGGGAUAUUGCACAAUGGGGGGAACCCUGAUGCAGCGACGCCGCGUGGGUGAAGGAGUAUUUCGGUAUGUAAAGCCCUAUCGGCAGGGAAGAAGGAGGACGGUACCUGACUAAGAAGCACCGGCUAAAUACGUGCCAGCAGCCGCGGUAAUACGUAUGGUGCAAGCGUUAUCCGGAUUUACUGGGUGUAAAGGGAGCGCAGGCGGCACGCUAAGCCUGAUGUGAAAACCCGCGGCCCAACCGCGGGAGUGCAUUGGGAACUGGCGAGCUAGAGUACCGGAGGGGCAGGCGGAAUUCCUGGUGUAGCGGUGAAAUGCGUAGAUAUCAGGAGGAACACCGGCGGCGAAGGCGGCCUGCUGGACCGCUACUGACGUUGAGGCUCGAAAGCGUGGGGAGCGAACAGGAUUAGAUACCCGUGUAAG